AGUCUUGUAGUUUAAUAAAAAACUUUAAAUUGCAAAUUUAAUAACGACAAUAAAAUAUCUAAGACUUA
Molecule: transfer RNA, 68 nt
Filed under: Drabescoides nuchalis
Lineage: Eukaryota; Metazoa; Arthropoda; Insecta; Hemiptera; Cicadellidae
Description: tRNA-Cys
Rfam family: tRNA
About the family: Transfer RNA (tRNA) molecules are approximately 80 nucleotides in length. Their secondary structure includes four short double-helical elements and three loops (D, anti-codon, and T loops).
Source: RNAcentral